Molecule: ribosomal RNA, 774 nt
Filed under: uncultured bacterium
Lineage: Bacteria
Description: bacterial SSU rRNA
Rfam family: Bacterial small subunit ribosomal RNA
Source: RNAcentral
AGAGUUUGAUCAUGGCUCAGGACGAACGCUGGCGGCGUGCUUAACACAUGCAAGUCGAGCGGUAAGGCUCCUUCGGGAGUACACGAGCGGCGAACGGGUGAGUAACACGUGAGCAAUCUGCCCUUCACUUUGGGAUAACUUCCGGAAACGGAAGCUAAUACCGAAUACGACCACUUCACGCAUGUGAUGGUGGUGGAAAGUUCCGGCGGUGAAGGAUGAGCUCGCGGCCUAUCAGCUUGUUGGUGAGGUAAUGGCUCACCAAGGCUUCGACGGGUAGCCGGCCUGAGAGGGUGACCGGCCACACUGGGACUGAGACACGGCCCAGACUCCUACGGGAGGCAGCAGUGGGGAAUAUUGGACAAUGGGCGAAAGCCUGAUCCAGCAACGCCGCGUGAGGGAUGACUGCCUUCGGGUUGUAAACCUCUUUCAGCGGGGACGAAGCGAAAGUGACGGUACCCGCAGAAGAAGCACCGGCCAACUACGUGCCAGCAGCCGCGGUAAUACGUAGGGUGCGAGCGUUGUCCGGAAUUAUUGGGCGUAAAGGGCUCGUAGGCGGUUUGUCACGUCGGGAGUGAAAACUCAGGGCUCAACCCUGAGCCUGCUUCCGAUACGGGCAGACUAGAGGUAUGCAGGGGAGAACGGAAUUCCUGGUGUAGCGGUGAAAUGCGCAGAUAUCAGGAGGAACACCGGUGGCGAAGGCGGUUCUCUGGGCAUUACCUGACGCUGAGGAGCGAAAGUGUGGGGAGCGAACAGGAUUAGAUACCCUAGUAGUCC